RNAcentral lists this RNase P RNA (322 nucleotides) under Acidobacteriota bacterium. Its description in RNAcentral is "partial RNase P RNA component class A". It matches the Rfam family "Bacterial RNase P class A". Rfam says of the family: Ribonuclease P (RNase P) is a ubiquitous endoribonuclease, found in archaea, bacteria and eukarya as well as chloroplasts and mitochondria. The record is from RNAcentral. Lineage: Bacteria; Pseudomonadati; Acidobacteriota.
CCUGCAGGCUGAGCAGUCGCGGAGGUAUCGCCUUCGAGGAAAGUCCGGACAUCACAGGGCAAGGUGGUCGGUAACGCCGACCCGGGGAAACCCGCGGGAAAGUGCCACAGAAAUGACACCGCCUAAGUCCGGGGCCGCUGCAGCGUCCCGGACCGGUAAGGGUGAAAUGGUGCGGUAAGAGCGCACCGGCGUCGCGGCGACGCGGCGGCCAGGUAAACCCCACCUGAUGCAAGGCCGAGCAGAACCGUUUGCAGGUUGCCCGCCAAGGUUCGGGUAGGCCGCUCAGAUGGAUGACUGCUCUCGACAAGAUCCGGCUUAUAGG